Molecule: ribosomal RNA, 463 nt
Filed under: uncultured bacterium
Lineage: Bacteria
Description: bacterial SSU rRNA
Rfam family: Bacterial small subunit ribosomal RNA
Source: RNAcentral
CCUACGGGUCGCAGCAGUGGGGAAUAUUGCACAAUGGGCGCAAGCCUGAUGCAGCCAUGCCGCGUGUAUGAAGAAGGCCUUCGGGUCGUAAAGUACUUUCAGCGGGGAGGAAGGUGUUGUGGUUAAUAACCACAGCAAUUGACGUUACCCGCAGAAGAAGCACCGGCUAACUCCGUGCCAGCAGCCGCGGUAAUACGGAGGGUGCAAGCGUUAAUCGGAAUUACUGGGCGUAAAGCGCACGCAGGCGGUCUGUCAAGUCGGAUGUGAAACCCCGGGCUCAACCUGGGAACUGCAUUCGAAACUGGCAGGCUAGAGUCUUGUAGAGGGGGGUAGAAUUCCAGGUGUAGCGGUGAAAUGCGUAGAGAUCUGGAGGAAUACCGGUGGCGAAGGCGGCCCCCUGACAAAGACUGACGCUCAGGUGCGAAAGCGUGGGGAGCAAACAGGAUUAGAUACCCCGGUAGUC